CCUACGGGAGGCAGCAGUGGGGAAUAUUGGGCAAUGGGCGAAAGCCUGACCCAGCAACGCCGCGUGAAGGAAGAAGGCUUUCGGGUUGUAAACUUCUUUUGACAGGGAAGAGCAGAAGACGGUACCUGUCGAAUAAGCCACGGCUAACUACGUGCCAGCAGCCGCGGUAAUACGGAGGGUGCGAGCGUUAAUCGGAAUUACUGGGCGUAAAGCGCACGUAGGCCGUAUGUCAAGUCAAGGGUGAAAUCCCACGGCUCAACCGUGGAACUGCCUUUGAAACUGGCAAACUGGAGGAUGUGAGAGGGCGGCGGAAUUCCUGGUGUAGGAGUGAAAUCCGUAGAUAUCAGGAGGAACAUCAGUGGCGAAGGCGGCCGCCUGGCACAAAACUGACGCUGAGGUGCGAAAGCGUGGGUAGCAAACAGGAUUAGAUACCCCGGUAGUC
Molecule: ribosomal RNA, 442 nt
Filed under: uncultured bacterium
Lineage: Bacteria
Description: partial 16S ribosomal RNA
Rfam family: Bacterial small subunit ribosomal RNA
Source: RNAcentral